CUCAGGUAGUUUAAAAAAAAUGUUGGCUUGUGGCGCCUAUGAUGUAAUUGUUAUCUUGAGUA
This 62-nucleotide transfer RNA is filed under the name Leptodius sanguineus. RNAcentral's name for it is "tRNA-His". The record is from RNAcentral. Lineage: Eukaryota; Metazoa; Arthropoda; Malacostraca; Decapoda; Xanthidae.